Molecule: non-coding RNA, 99 nt
Filed under: Haliscomenobacter sp.
Lineage: Bacteria; Pseudomonadati; Bacteroidota; Saprospiria; Saprospirales; Haliscomenobacteraceae
Source: RNAcentral
CCCGGUGAGCGCACUUGGUGCUGCUCCUUCCAACCCCCCCAGGGCAGAAAUGCAGCAAGGGUACGAAGUUGAGCGCCCGUUGUGUGUCUCACCUUAUUA